UUUUUAGUACAAGUCUGUCCCAUGCAAUAUUUGGGAUCAACUUAUACUAAAA
Molecule: microRNA precursor, 52 nt
Organism: Homo sapiens (human)
Lineage: Eukaryota; Metazoa; Chordata; Mammalia; Primates; Hominidae
Rfam family: mir-1302 microRNA precursor family
Source: Rfam